UACGGAGGGUGCUAGCGUUGUUCGGAAUCACUGGGCGUAAAGGGCGUGUAGGCGGUCUACUAAGUCUGAUGUGAAAUCCCCUCGCUCAACGAGGGAACUGCGUCGGAUACUGGUAGACUCGAGUACCGGAGAGGAAGGUGGAAUUCCCGGUGUAGCGGUGAAAUGCGUAGAUAUCGGGAGGAACAUCGGUGGCGAAGGCGGCCUUCUGGACGGAUACUGACGCUGAGACGCGAAAGCGUGGGGAGCAAAC
This 250-nucleotide ribosomal RNA is filed under the name uncultured bacterium. RNAcentral describes it as "partial 16S ribosomal RNA". It matches the Rfam family "Bacterial small subunit ribosomal RNA", at positions 524 to 773 of the family's 1533-position model. The record is from RNAcentral.